AACUUAGAACGAAGCAGAAAUUUCCUGACAGUUAGAACAAUUAAUCAAUGGAACAGCGGUUGCCCUCGGAGGUUAUGGGAGCGCCAUCCCUUGAGACUUUCAAGAAGAGCUUGGACUCCCAUCUGUCAGAAAUGGUGUAGGGUCUCCUGCUUGGGCAGGGG
Pseudonaja textilis is the source of this 161-nucleotide non-coding RNA. The record is from RefSeq and is a predicted model, not a curated record. Lineage: Eukaryota; Metazoa; Chordata; Lepidosauria; Squamata; Elapidae.